Molecule: long non-coding RNA, 1017 nt
Organism: Haplochromis burtoni (Burton's mouthbrooder)
Lineage: Eukaryota; Metazoa; Chordata; Actinopteri; Cichliformes; Cichlidae
Exons: 2
Source: RefSeq, a predicted model, not a curated record
AUCCCUGUUUGCUUCACUUUGCAUGUGUGGCAGGAUGAAUGUUAUCCCUCGUUCCAACCCACUUUCAGCCUGGCCCAUUAGGGGGCGCUGGUAUAAAUAGUGGCCAUUUGAGUGUCUCUGCAUCGCUUGCCUGUGAUCUCCUUUUUGGUCACCUGACUUCCUCGGUGUGGUAGAGAUCGUUUGUGGGUUACGCCUCUAAAGUCUCCAUCGCGGCUGGUCGUAGCUAUAGAAGCCUCCUCUGAGCUAUUCGGCUUACAUUCUAUGACACGGCUUACUUGGAAGUGUGGGCCUUAGUUUUGCGCCAAGCUACGUGAACUGAAGUGCUGCUGUUUUGCCUUGCUGUGCUUUUAUCGUCGGUUCCCGUUGUGAGAUUUCUUUCCCUGCUGCUGUCAGCUUUUACAGAGGACGUCGGCGUGGACAACGGCCAUAUGCAUGCCGGUUAUCGGAGUCAGCUGGCGUGCAUAUUGAUUGACUGUUAACUUGUCGUUGUGUGACGGCAAGUUGGAGCAGUACGGCGAUUCCGUUUGCUCCAGAUUUUAGAGUUUUAUCCAGAUUGUAUGUUGUUUUAUUGCUUUUGAUUUGUAGUUUGGAUUUUUGUUACACCACUGGUGGGAGGCCCUUUUUCUAGCUGUAGAUCACCAGUGUGGUCUUGCAGUUGGGUUAUCCCCCGGUGCUACACAUUAGUUUGUUGUAAUAUAUUAAAAUUUUCUUUGUUUCUUUUAUUCAGUGCGGAGUGCCGACGUGGAGGAGACUAGGGUGCCUUGGUGGUGGGAUCCCUUGAGUGUACACACCUGCCUUGUUUAGUUUAUUAGUGUGAGUGUGUGUGAUAGUGUGCUGCACUUGUGUUUUGGGUGUGUUUUCUUUCUUUAGUUUGUGUGUGGCAUCCCUGCCCCUCCACUGGUAAGCCUCAGCUCUGAAUACCUUUUUAAGCAUAUUUGUACUUGAAUAUUUAUGAUUGUGCUUUUAUAUGGUGUUUUAAAUAAUUAUCAAUAAAUUGUCAAUUUGUUUAUUAUUGAA